RNAcentral lists this ribosomal RNA (604 nucleotides) under Escherichia coli. Its description in RNAcentral is "partial 23S ribosomal RNA". It matches the Rfam family "Bacterial large subunit ribosomal RNA", at positions 586 to 1191 of the family's 2925-position model. Lineage: Bacteria; Pseudomonadati; Pseudomonadota; Gammaproteobacteria; Enterobacterales; Enterobacteriaceae. The record is from RNAcentral.
AAUCUGUGUGACUGCGUACCUUUUGUAUAAUGGGUCAGCGACUUAUAUUCUGUAGCAAGGUUAACCGAAUAGGGGAGCCGAAGGGAAACCGAGUCUUAACUGGGCGUUAAGUUGCAGGGUAUAGACCCGAAACCCGGUGAUCUAGCCAUGGGCAGGUUGAAGGUUGGGUAACACUAACUGGAGGACCGAACCGACUAAUGUUGAAAAAUUAGCGGAUGACUUGUGGCUGGGGGUGAAAGGCCAAUCAAACCGGGAGAUAGCUGGUUCUCCCCGAAAGCUAUUUAGGUAGCGCCUCGUGAAUUCAUCUCCGGGGGUAGAGCACUGUUUCGGCAAGGGGGUCAUCCCGACUUACCAACCCGAUGCAAACUGCGAAUACCGGAGAAUGUUAUCACGGGAGACACACGGCGGGUGCUAACGUCCGUCGUGAAGAGGGAAACAACCCAGACCGCCAGCUAAGGUCCCAAAGUCAUGGUUAAGUGGGAAACGAUGUGGGAAGGCCCAGACAGCCAGGAUGUUGGCUUAGAAGCAGCCAUCAUUUAAAGAAAGCGUAAUAGCUCACUGGUCGAGUCGGCCUGCGCGGAAGAUGUAACGGGGCUAAACCAUG